This 254-nucleotide ribosomal RNA is filed under the name uncultured bacterium. RNAcentral's name for it is "partial 16S ribosomal RNA". It matches the Rfam family "Bacterial small subunit ribosomal RNA", at positions 77 to 334 of the family's 1533-position model. The record is from RNAcentral.
CGAAUACCGGGUGGCGACCGGCGCACGGGUGAGUAACACGUAUCCAACCUGCCUUUACUCGGGGAUAGCCUUUCGAAAGAAAGAUUAAUACCCGAUAGCAUAAUGAUUCCGCAUGGUUUCAUUAUUAAAGGAUUCCGGUAAAGGAUGGGGAUGCGUUCCAUUAGGUUGUUGGUGAGGUAACGGCUCACCAAGCCUUCGAUGGAUAGGGGUUCUGAGAGGAAGGUCCCCCACAUUGGAACUGAGACACGGUCCAA